GAAAGUAUUUAUUCAGUCUCCUCCACUGUCUGCAAAAAACAACUCCCUCCUGCUUCAGGCUCUCACCUUUCCCAGAAUGUGGUUGUAGGGGAUGAGGAGGGGCCUGAUUGUCUGGGCCUGGAGGACAGGGAAGCGGUCCCCAGGGACAAGCAGGACCAGGUCCCGGGAGUCCCCUUGUUUGUGCAGAGACAGAAAAAAGAAAAAAGAAAAAAGAGACCCACGCAAACCCGAACUGUUUUCAGGGCUCCUGCCGGCUAAGAGCGGGGCUUGGUGUGCAGGGGGCAGGAGGACCCAAUGUACAGCGGUCCCUAGGCCGAGACAGCUGGGAGUGGGCAGGGGAGGGGGGCGGAAGCCAGAAACUUGCAGUCUUCUGUGAGGCCCGGAGCAGAGCCUGUUCUAAACACAGUUAGGUCCUCACAUUCGGACACAGAGCCGAAGAAUGCAGCAAUGCCCAGCGUUAUGACGGGGGAGGGAGGUAAUGGUCUCAGAGCUCCUGGAAAUCAGCAAGAGGUAAGAGAGAACCCUCCACGCCCCUGGAGCCAGACGUUGAGCCUCCCGAAGGGCAAAAACAAUAUUUCAGGGGCAGGAGUUUCCGGGUGCCUGGCUGUGGCUGGUUCCCGUAGCCUGGGGUGAUGAGGAGACUUCAACCUCAAAGACCCCUCCAGAUUCCUGAGAUGGGGACUCCGGAGGGGGUAGACGCUUCUCGCAGGGGCAGGAUGGAGGUGUGAGCUUGGGUGAUCUAGCAAUGAAAGCAGAGCGAGGCUCGGUGGGGCCACCUCCACCCCGGGUGAUGCCCAUGCCUAGACGUUCCUAGUGGCUUCUCAGUCACUGCCCACAAAGCGAGAAGUGACUGGAGGACUUAGUCUGUGCUGGUACAGAGUCAAAGAUAAAGAAACAGGAGCAAAAGCGAAUGAAAACGGAGCCACAAUACACAACCAGGCCCCAGACUCCUGGGCCGAACUGCGGGACAGAGCCAGGGAGGCAGCAGAAGCUCAGGCCUGCAGCGACUCCAGGGUGCACAAAGACAGGAGCUGGGCGGAGGCUGGAGAGGACUUGGGCCUGGAUUUGAAAUCAUGUUCCUUGGAAUCCGACUUCUCCCUGCUGUCAGGAAAGGCGCUGCCCAGUGGCAUUUGAAACUAUGGAGGAAGAGGGUUUCUAUCGUCACUCUGCUGCUCUUCCCCUAAAGAAGUGAGCACAGGGGAGGCAUCUUUUCCAGUGGACGGGGAAGGGUCACCGCACCCCUACAGGAUCUCCCUUACAGGGAUGACACCAGAGCCGAGAGAGGAUAAGUAACAGGUCCAAGGAACACAGCCAGCAUGUGGACAGCUGUGUACGUGGAGUGACCUCAGAGUCUGCCCGUGGUGCCGCCCAGGGCCUGUCCAAUUGCGUCACGCUGAGAGGCCUCUGCAUCAUUUGCAUUUAAGGCAGAUGGAAUUUGGGGUGGGGCAGAGGGAUUCUUUUGAAAGCCUGGUGGGUUCAGGGCCAUCUGGAGUUCAAAGCUGUCAUGUGCAUCUACCUUAGCAGCCAGUCCCAUUUGGAGUUUCAGGGCUCUGGUUGGCCUAAGAGACCAUCUAAGCUUAGAUUCAGUCUUCUCUGGAGUUCUGCCAUUCUUAAAAUCAGGACCCAAGACAGGUGCACACUGCUGUCUGCCUUCCAGCUGCAGACAUGUGGGUUUCUGCUUUAGGCAGGUGCUCGAUAGUUCUAAACUGGUCAUUUACUUUUAUUAAUACAUUAGUAGCACUCAACGAUAGUCACCAAACCCACAGUUCUUAUACAUAGUUACUGUUUCUCUCUUCAAUUGCCCUAGCUACUCUACCUUUUUGCCUGUAGCUCAUCUGGUUUUCUGCAGGUGAAAAUUUGGCAUCCAGGGACGAUUGAUAAUCUACCUAACAUCAGGGACCCAACUUCAGAAUCACAUCCUUAGAGUUUGCUUUCUAGGGCCAUGAUUUUAGGGUGCAUUCCUUAGAAGCAGAUCAGAGAUGAAAUCUCUUAAGCUGGUUAUUUAUUGCUAGUUCUCUCAGGAGAAGGGUAAAGGGAAGCAACAUAAUAUGGUGGUAUUUCCUUGUCUCCUUUUUGCCUAGUUUUUAUUUCUUCUGUCCUAACUCCAAGUGAUUCAGAAAGUCUUCAGGGAUGGUGGAAUUAGUAGACAACACCCACUGCAUUUGGAGGUGGGAUGACCUGGCCAGAAAAGAUUGUUCCAGGACACCAAGAAUAUCUUCUGCACCAGUCAACUGUUCUCAUCUGUUUCCUGAAUAACAAACACUUCCCUGAUGUUCUUCUCAAAUUCAGCCUCCAGUCUGAGUCCCAUUUGGCUAAACUCAUGGUACUGGAAACAAAAUAAUAAAGACAAAAUAGUGAUGUUGAU
Non-coding RNA from Heterocephalus glaber (naked mole-rat), 2365 nucleotides. Lineage: Eukaryota; Metazoa; Chordata; Mammalia; Rodentia; Bathyergidae. The record is from RefSeq and is a predicted model, not a curated record.